CGUUCUGUAAGCCUGUGAAGGUGUGUCGUGAGGCAUGCUGGAGGUAUCAGAAGUGCGAAUGCUGACAUAAGUAACGAUAAAGCGGGUGAAAAGCCCGCUCGCCGGAAGACCAAGGGUUCCUGUCCAACGUUAAUCGGGGCAGGGUGAGUCGACCCCUAAGGCGAGGCCGAAAGGCGUAGUCGAUGGGAAACGGGUUAAUAUUCCCGUACUUGGUGUUACUGCGAAGGGGGGACGGAGAAGGCUAUGUUGGCCGGGCGACGGUUGUCCCGGUUUAAGCGUGUAGGUGUGUGUUCCAGGUAAAUCCGGUUCACUUUAACACUGAGGCGUGACGACGAGGCACUACGGUGCUGAAGCAACAAAUGCCCUGCUUCCA
RNAcentral lists this ribosomal RNA (373 nucleotides) under Salmonella enterica subsp. enterica. RNAcentral's name for it is "partial 23S ribosomal RNA". It matches the Rfam family "Bacterial large subunit ribosomal RNA", at positions 1237 to 1610 of the family's 2925-position model. Lineage: Bacteria; Pseudomonadati; Pseudomonadota; Gammaproteobacteria; Enterobacterales; Enterobacteriaceae. The record is from RNAcentral.